CGCGUAGGCGGUUUGAUAAGUCAGAUGUGAAAGCCCACGGCUUAACCGUGGAAGUGCAUUUGAUACUGUUAGACUUGAGUACCAGAGGGGAAAGUGGAAUUCCCGGUGUAGAGGUGAAAUUCGUAGAUAUCGGGAGGAAUACCGGUGGCGAAGGCGACUUUCUGGCUGGAUACCGACGCUGAGGCGCGAAAGCGUGGGGAGCAAACA
Molecule: ribosomal RNA, 207 nt
Filed under: uncultured delta proteobacterium
Lineage: Bacteria; Deltaproteobacteria
Description: partial 16S ribosomal RNA
Rfam family: Bacterial small subunit ribosomal RNA
Source: RNAcentral